Molecule: ribosomal RNA, 494 nt
Filed under: uncultured bacterium
Lineage: Bacteria
Description: partial 16S ribosomal RNA
Rfam family: Bacterial small subunit ribosomal RNA
Source: RNAcentral
GACGAACGCUGGCGGCGUGCUUAACACAUGCAAGUCGAACGGAAAGGCCUGCUUUCCCUUGUGGAUUGCGGGUACUCGAGUGGCGAACGGGUGAGUAACACGUGAGUGAUCUGCCCCCAACUUGGGUAUAAGCCUGGGAAACUGGGUCUAAUUCCCGAUAGGACUGCAGGGUGGUGCCUUUGGUGGAAAACGAUUUUCUAGUGGUUGGGGAUGAGCUCGCGGCCUAUCAGCUUGUUGGUGGGGUAAUGGCCUACCAAGGCGGGGACGGGUAGCCGGCCUGAGAGGGUGGACGGCCACAUUGGGACUGAGACACGGCCCAGACGCCUACGGGAGGCAGCAGUGGGGAAGAAUGGACAAUGGGCGGAAGCCUGAUGCAGCGACGCCGCGUGGGAGAUGACGGCCUUCGGGUUGUAAACUCCUUUCGACCGCGAGGAAGCCACCUGGUUGGAAGGGUGGUGACGGUAGUGGUAGAAGAAGCACCGGCUAACUACGUG